UAGGGAAUCUUCCGCAAUGGGCGAAAGCCUGACGGAGCAAUGCCGCGUGAGUGAUGAAGGUUUUCGGAUCGUAAAGCUCUGUUGCCAGGGAAGAACGCUUGGGAGAGUAACUGCUCUCAAGGUGACGGUACCUGAGAAGAAAGCCCCGGCUAACUACGUGCCAGCAGCCGCGGUAAUACGUAGGGGGCAAGCGUUGUCCGGAAUUAUUGGGCGUAAAGCGCGCGCAGGCGGUCAUUUAAGUCUGGUGUUUAAUCCCGGGGCUCAACCCCGGAUCGCACUGGAAACUGGGUGACUUGAGUGCAGAAGAGGAGAGUGGAAUUCCACGUGUAGCGGUGAAAUGCGUAGAUAUGUGGAGGAACACCAGUGGCGAAGGCGACUCUCUGGGCUGUAACUGACGCUGAGGCGCGAAAGCGUGGGGAGCAAACAGGAUUAGAUACCCUGGUAGUCCACGCCGUAAACGAUGAGUGCUAGGUGUUAGGGG
RNAcentral lists this ribosomal RNA (481 nucleotides) under uncultured Bacillota bacterium. RNAcentral describes it as "bacterial SSU rRNA". It matches the Rfam family "Bacterial small subunit ribosomal RNA", at positions 355 to 829 of the family's 1533-position model. The record is from RNAcentral. Lineage: Bacteria; Bacillati; Bacillota.